CCUACGGGAGGCAGCAGUGGGGAAUAUUGGGCAAUGGGCGCAAGCCUGACCCAGCAACGCCGCGUGAAGGAAGAAGGCUUUCGGGUUGUAAACUUCUUUUCUCAGGGACGAAGCAAGUGACGGUACCUGAGGAAUAAGCCACGGCUAACUACGUGCCAGCAGCCGCGGUAAUACGUAGGUGGCAAGCGUUAUCCGGAUUUACUGGGGAUAAAGGGGGUGUAGGCGGGAAAGCAAGUCAGAUGUGAAAACCAUGGGCUCAACCUGUGGCCUGCAUUUGAAACGGUUUUUCUUGAGUACUGGAGAGGCAGACGGAAUUCCUGGUGUAGCGGUGAAAUGCGUAGAUAUUAGGAGGAACACCAGUGGCGAAGGCGGUCUGCUGGACAGCAACUGACGCUGAGGCGCGAAAGCGUGGGCAGCAAACAGGAUUAGAUACCCCAGUAGUC
Molecule: ribosomal RNA, 443 nt
Filed under: uncultured bacterium
Lineage: Bacteria
Description: partial 16S ribosomal RNA
Rfam family: Bacterial small subunit ribosomal RNA
Source: RNAcentral